RNAcentral lists this ribosomal RNA (506 nucleotides) under Deraeocoris ventralis. RNAcentral describes it as "partial large subunit ribosomal RNA". It matches the Rfam family "Eukaryotic large subunit ribosomal RNA", at positions 755 to 1243 of the family's 3401-position model. Lineage: Eukaryota; Metazoa; Arthropoda; Insecta; Hemiptera; Miridae. The record is from RNAcentral.
GCACUCCCGGGGCGUCUCUAUCUCAUUGCGAGAGGAGGCGCACCUUGAGCGUACACGCUGAUACCCGAAAGAUGGUGAACUAUGCCUGGCCAGGACGAAGCCAGGGGAAACCCUGGUGGAGGUCCGCAGCGAUUCUGACGUGCAAAUCGAUCGUCGGAGCUGGGUUUAGGGGCGAAAGACCAAUCGAACCAUCUAGUAGCUGGUUCCCUCUGAAGUUUCCCUCAGGAUAGCUUGCGCUCGAAUUGAAACGAGUCUCAUCCGGUAGAGCGAAUGAUUAGAGGCCUUGGGGUCGAAACGACCUCAACCUAUUCUCAAACUCCAAAUAGAUGAGAACCCCGGCUUUCUUGAACUCUUGUUUAUGAAGCCGGGGGCUUGGAUCAGAGUGCCAAGUGGGCCAAUUUUGGUAAGCAGAACUGGCGCUGUGGGAUGAACCAAACGCGGAGUUAAGGCGCCUCAAUCGACGCUCAUGUGAAACCAUGAAAGGCGUUGGUUGCUUAAGACAGCAG